RNAcentral lists this long non-coding RNA (6788 nucleotides) under Dermacentor andersoni. RNAcentral's name for it is "uncharacterized LOC126537096". Lineage: Eukaryota; Metazoa; Arthropoda; Arachnida; Ixodida; Ixodidae. The record is from RNAcentral.
AAAGAAACUUCACGUCUCCUCAUCGAAUUCUUAAGAGAGACUGGUUUGAUGGACAUAUGGUGAAACCCUUCAGCGGUAUUGUGCGAGACGCUCGGGCGGAGCAAUUGCCGGCCUUGAUCGCCAGGUUAAACCCGCCUGUUGCUACAAUUCACCACCACCACCACAUCCAUUGCGGCUAUUCACAAGUAUAUCCAGCGGGCGCUUCUGCACAUCUAGUCUCCGGCCGUGUUACGUCCGCAUUUUUCUCGCCGGUGGCUUUCAGCUGGGAGACAGAGAUUCGUUCAACUCCUUGCACUUCUGACAAGUACCAUGUAUACACUUCAAUAAUACUACGGAUGUUUUCUCGUGUGGCGUAUAAGCCCCGUGGCAUUUAAGGUUCCGAACGUCUGCUUUUGAAUGAAGCCAUGUUUUCCUCUGACGGCUAUGGUUCGCAUUCUCUCAGUGCUCCUUUCCUUAAUCUUGUUGCUACACCUUGCCGGUUCCGCAAGUACACAAACUUUGUGGGCUUCCGAUGAAAUUUGCUGUGGAAUGUAUUAACUAUGCAGACCUUCGAGGUUAGGUUUAUGCUUCGGAAAAUUUCCUUCACCAGUUUCCAAAAGGCUUUUCUAUGUCGCUCUCCGAGUAAGACGACGUUGAAUUUCUUCCGUUCCUGGUUAUAUUUCUUAGCCGAGUUCAAUUCCUUACCCGUAAUUUAUUUCGCCAACUCGGAGUGCCACACAUUUCACAAUGCUUUUGUAACUCUACGUAGUCUUCACUUUUCUUGAAGGUUGCCGUCCUAUUCAAUGUGUCCUCCGUUUUCUGGUUCCGCCCGUCGGGUCCGCAGAAGUUAGAGGAAUGGGUUCUCCAGGUCUAUCGUGAACCUGUGUUAACGAUUGCUUCUUAAUGAUACCACCUCCUACGUGUACUCGGGUAUAUAGUUCUCCAUUAUGCAGUACACAUCGACCGAUCGCUUUCCGUAGUAGACUUGAAUACUAAGAAUGAGCCUUUCAUAGAAACCGCACCCACACGGUGUUUUGCGGAGGAAAUUUCCACUUGGUGAUGGGUCAUAUUGUUCAGUUGUUUAUCGACGUAAUUUUGCUGUGACCGCAUUCAAUCCUUUAUUAGUUCUCCUGAAAGGCUUGUGUUGUUGCUGAGCACAUUUAUGUUCGACCGGAGAAACGCUGAAAAUAGUGUAGAAUACCGAUCUGAAGCGUCUCCAACAGUUUCGCAGUGUACACUUCUUGUCACGGCACAUGUAAAAGUUGCUACUCAAAGUUUGGCUAUGUCUCCUUUCUUGUUUUUUUUUUGUGGUUGCUCCCAGCGCACCGUUGAAACGUAGAUGAGCUAUUUCAAACAAUGUGGUUUUCGUUACUCUAUCUUCAAGAGGAGGUACUUCCUCUUACAAGGAUCUGGAAUUGUAUCUUCGCCACACAACGCACUGUCGUAUUACUUCUUUCACUUAUUUUCGUGCUCCGAUUACUCGAAAUCUCGUUAUUAUACGCGCCAGUGUACUGCGUUCUCCACCGUGAAGUUUGUCCAUGUAGGUGUCGCACUAAUAGUCCAGAUUUCUUCCAUUUACAUGUGAUCGGGUGCUGCUCCUCUUGUGAUACGGGCCCUACCGAAGGCGCCCUUGAAGUCUCAUUGGGUCUUUAUCUUAAGAUAUCCGAUAUUCGCCUAUUGUCUGCGCAUUCGCUUGCUUGCUGAAUUUCUGCAAUUUGCAAUACACACAUUGUUCUAACCAAAUGAGGCAUGUUUCGGCGGUAUUUAUUUCUUCUGCUUUUAGUGGACCGUUGAACUUGUCCUCUAAUAUUCACGGAACGAAACAUUCACGCAGUUGCUCUCCAAAUAUUCAAGUAACUGCCGAACCUGUCAACUUCAAUGCCUCGUCUUGAGAUCCUUUUCGACGUAUAUCUGACACUAUAAUCAUGUCCUUUCCUUUCAUUAAUAACCGGCAUUUUCUAACGGCUAUUUGGUCUGUAGCAACUGGGAUACCUUCCACAAAAUUGUUCACUUCAUCUUUUCUACAGUGGCUCCUGGUUAUAUCUGCUCAAUUUUUCAGUACUAUUGACGUAUCCCCAUUGUUCUCCUGCUGAGUAAUCCUUUUUUUUUUCUAGUCUGUGUUCAACAGUUGCUUCAUACGUUUUCGUUCUCCAAUGCAGCACGAUUGUACAAGUGGUCCGAUACUUCACUGUUGCUCGCAAGUUCUAAUUUGCGAGACUGUCAACGGUGUUCAUUAGAGCUACUCUGACCUUUGCCAGGACCAGCACUGUCUCCGCUCUGAUAUAACAAUACCAUGAAUGCUGCACUUGAAUACACCGCCGGGUUUGCGUCCGAGAAGUGUCGGUGCUUACGUUCCGUUUCUUGUUGUCGAUAUGCUUUGAAGCAUUUAGUCCUUUAUCUUCCUCGGUAUAUUUCUCCAUAAAUCAUUUAUCUUCGUCUGGGAGAGGGUUGUCCCAAGAUUCCGAGUUUUUCCCGUCAUUGAAUACCGAUAUUAGCUGCUGCAGUGCAGGACGUUAGAAACUCCAGCCGACCAAAUAUUUUUGCCGUGGCUUGAAAUACUCCUCGCUGCGUGAGCAUUUCACUCGAGUCUUAUUCAUAUCGAUGGGAAAGCAGAAUACCGUCGGCCGUGUCCCAGUUAAAUCCUAGAAUACUGGGCUGGCUUGAUAACGUAAGAACGGCACCUUGAUGCGAAUUUAAAUUCUCAUUUCUUCACUGUUCGACGUCCAUUUCCUAAGAUUCAUUGCAGCUCGGAAAACUUCUUUUUCGCUUCUAUGUACACGCCUUUUGCCUGGUUUUAUGUUCCAAGCAUAACUUCAUCAACGCAAACUUAAUUACGUUUGCUGGUAUUGCAAGAAUUUAUUAGAAAAUUCAUUCACAGUGUUGGUGCAUCGGCAUUCAAAUUUCCUCCUGUCUGAAGAGAAUCAUUCAAAACAUUCCUGAUCUUAACCACGAGGCGUCAAAUACUACGCCUAAUUUUCUUGCUAGUCGGUCUUCUCGAAUUGCUUGAUGGCGCGAUAUGGUAGUUAUUGUUCAUUCUUCCGAACUCGCUCGUUCUGCUUUCCAGGUGUGAAACAUCUCGAAUUGAACAGUUUUAUUUUUAUCUCACUGCUGAAUUUGUCUGGUGUCUUCGAGAUAGUCUUCCGAUUGCUACUUCGUUGAUUUUCACGUUAACUUGCUCUCCAUCCUUCUGAACAGUCCUUGUAACUAUAGUCCACUUUAUACAUCUUUUCUUUCUGUGGAGCUAAGCCAGUAUAUUCCACCUUCAAAAAGUUCAAAAUGGAGAACGUCAGAUUCUGCGGCGUCAAGAACCAUGGCGAGUUUCGCGUUUCACAGUUCUACACCACAUGGGUCAGGCACAAUCCAGUUGGGUAUUUUCUAUUUUCCAUUGUAUCUUCGUUUCGUUUUUUCACUGGGCUUCCCUCCUCGCCUGCACUACUGCUGCUUCUGCACUCCUGUUUUGGUCCACAAGCAUACAUAACGCGCUCUUGCACGACUCUACGGUCUGCGCUCCAAAAGAUCACUUCGGGCACGAGCAUCACCUGUUCCAGGAGCGAGUGUUAUUGCUUCUACAUUCCCUCGCCAGCGGCGUCCUGCUGGUAGACUGGACUUGUCUCCUCGCCCUGCACUACUACUGUUUCUGCACUCCUGUUUUCGACUGCGGUGGGUACCUAGCACGCUCCUGCAGAUCGACUUUCCGUUCUGCGCUCCAAAGGAGAUUACUUCAGACACCAGCAUCACCCGUUCCAUGAGCGACUGCUAUUGCUUCUAUGUUCUCUCGCCGGCGGCGUCCUGCUGGCAGACUGGACUUAGCCUGGCGCCCUUGCACUUAAUUCUGGUUCUCAGUGUUUGCUGUUGCUUGUGGUGCAAGAGAAACGUUCCAACCCUCCCAUUUACAAGAACAUUCCUGGCCUUGCCUCACGAGCAACUAUAUUCAGCCCGGUCGUCCUGCCGCGUGCUCUAUACAAGCUUCCUCACAUUAGUGAACGCCUGACUUGGCGGUGUCCUGCACUGUGUUGACGGCGAGUUCAUGCUCAGGACUGCGCGUGGUCACCGUCCCGAGACCGUCCAUCGGAUGUGCUCCUACAGUUCGCUGUUGCCUUUUCCCGCAGGCAUAUUCAAGUUUUGUGUAGUAAGCUUUUCUGUUUUGGAAGAGUGACACGUUGCUCAACGAAUGUAUAGCGCUUCUAGAAAUCGGGUUAAUACGAAGCAGAACAGUAAAGGUCUAAUUAAGUGGACACCACUCGGUACUUAGUAAGGACUGUCAUGUUUUCAUGAGCGGAUCUAUAAAUUUUUGGUGGCGAGAGUAAUGGACGUUCAUUCAUUGUGCCCUUUCGUAGUAGUGUGUGUGUGUGUGUGUGUGUGUGUGUGUGUGUGUGUGUGUGUGUGUGGCCUACUCUGUGAUCCUUUUUUUCGAUCCAGAACGUAUGGCAUGAGUUCCGCUGCUACCUGGUGCACUUCGAAUUUUUUGUUUUGGUAGCAUUUCCAACGUCACAGUUGCUUCACCUUUCCCGGUUCAUUCCUGUUGAAAGGUUCCUGGUUAGAUGGUUUACUAUCGUCUAUGGACAUGCGCUUUUUGAUUGGUCGAACCGCUGGUUUCUCUGGCUUUGGACCAUGGGUUGACCUCUGCGCUCGUUUCAGCAUUCAGCGCUAUUGUUCAGGCGCCUUUCUCGUGCCAGAAACGGUCUUGACACACUCUCGGUUCUUCCACGUCACUCAUCACUGUCUCGAAAAGAUUAACAUGCCACUACAAAAGGACACAAUUUCAAUGAAUGGGAAAGGGGAGGGUGGUUAUUCUCGCCAACAAAGGUUCCCUGAUUUGCUCGUGAUGAUAAUGACGUCCAUCUUUAAGACCCGGUUGGUGGUAAAGAUAACCGGGCUCGCUGUUUCUAGUUUUUGGUGUCCUUGACUCAUCAAAUGCUUUUAUGGAUCUACGUAGUCCAACUUAUGUAUUACCUGUCGUUUGCUUAUGAGACAGUGCUACCCGCUGUCUUCUCUUGUUCACCGCAUACACCGCGCCGUAGUUUGAUAUUUGUGUCCACAACUAUCGCGUACUCUGCAAGAUAGGCAAGAAUGCUGUAGCGCCAUGGCGCCCUUCACGCGGCUGUGACGUCGUUGCCUGCUGACUGUAGUUCAGAUUACGCACACUUGUGUGAUUUCGUAAUUGAAGUGCACCGCGUGAGCCAUUGUCAAACAGCUGCUUCGAAGGGGCUACAUGUACUCCCCUUAUGCCAAGUCGAGUGUAAACGUCUAGAGAAGUGACGUGCACGAGCACGCUAAAAAAAAUCUUGAUUAGAAAAUGUGUCCGCUUUACUUGUAUUUAUGGCGUUGAAGCGAAUUAAGUUUACCAGAGUUACCCCCGUACUUGUUUUUUUGCUGUACGCUGCGUCUUUCCAUUGCUCUUCGCAUGCAUCUGAACGCGUUUGCAUUGAAUAGUGACUGAAUUUGCACAUGCUACCACUGUUGUCCUAAUCUCGAUAUAAGGACGCACACUUGAUUUAUUACGAAUUGCUUCCAUUGUUCUCAACCUAUAAUAACCUUACCUCUGCGUUUCUCGAUAACUAAAUAAAAAAUGAGCACUGUCCUUGGUAAAUGGUUACGUAUGCUGUAUUGCUCUGCCUUUUUUUUUUCGCUGCUUUCAUACGCUGUGAUGAAAGUUGAGCAACCACGCAUGCGCGGUAGUGCUCAGUCGAAUGCAUUUUUCUUAACCUCUAACAUACACACAGCGCAAUGGAGCCUUACUGUAGAAAGUGUAUUUGUUUUCCAUCUUCAGUUACACGACAGUCCUGCAAUUGCGCCACACAAUACUCGCAAUCAGUUUACGAUACGACCAGUGUGGUGAUUUGGACUUCUUGAUGUGCAUCCGCCGUGGUUGCUUAGUGGCUAUGGUGUUCGGCUGCUAAGCACGAGGUUGCGCUAUCGAAUCCCGGCCACGGCGGCCGCAUUUUUAUCGGGGCGAAAUGCGAAAGCACCCGUUCACCUAAUUUAGAUACACGUUAAAGCACCCCAGGUGGUCCAAAUUACCAGUCUCCCACUGCGGCGUGCAUCAUCAGAUCGUCGUUUUCGCACGUAAAACCUCACAAUUUUUGUUGGUAUGUGUCAUCGGAGGCUUUUCUUUUUUUGUCUAACGCAACUAGUACGUGGGCGCAGAGAAAACCCACACUGCACUCAAUAGUUCGCAAUACGACCGUGAUGCACGAAAUAACUGCACAUUGGAGGAUGUGACGUGGUAUAUAUAGAUCGUCUAAAAAUGUGUUUUAGUCCCUUCUGUGCGUUUCGCAUCGAACUGGGAAGUUCGAAUACUUGCGCGCUUUCUAGUUUACUGAAAACAAAUGCCGGAAUCGUUUUUUUUUUUUUCAUCUCCCAGCGAUGGUGCUCUACUACGCUUACCCAUUUCAGAUCAGUUUUACAACUUGACGCUAUUUGAACUUUAAUGUAUGCAAAGAAGUCUGUUAUUGCGCCAUGACUUAUGCUGUUAUUUUCGGUUUACUGAUCUAAGAAAACUGUUCUCAGUUUUACAUUAUUAUACGUCGAAGUAUCGUGAAGCUGAGAAAUUGUGGUACGUAAAUUUCGGUAUGUAUUUGACAUGUAUUCCUGUACAAAUGCGUAAAUGUAUGUUAAUGCAGUGUAUAUAUGCUACUGUUUGCAGCAUCUGGGAUUAAGUCCAGUCAAGUAGCAUUGAAUCGCUUUUAAUUCCGUUUACUUAACAGUCGUGUUUUGUGCUGGUUGUACUGAGUAUGCAUUGCAUUAAACUGCACCUUGUCCAAAUCAUCUGUCGAAAUAAAACUUAUUCUUGUUGCCCGUCUCACUAA